UACGUAGGCAGCGAGCGUUUGUUCGGAAUUACUGGGCGUAAAGAGUGUGUAGGCGGUGCUCCCAGUCUGUUGUGAAAUCUCCCGGCUUAACUGGGAGGGUGCAGCGGAAACUAGAGUGCUAGAGGGUGGGAGAGGUAAGCGGAAUUCCUGGUGUAGCGGUGAAAUGCGUAGAUAUCAGGAGGAACACCUGCGGUGUAGACGGCUUUCUGGACCAUUGCUGACGCUGAGACACGAAAGCGUGGGUAGCAAACAGG
RNAcentral lists this ribosomal RNA (254 nucleotides) under uncultured bacterium. RNAcentral describes it as "partial 16S ribosomal RNA". It matches the Rfam family "Bacterial small subunit ribosomal RNA", at positions 524 to 776 of the family's 1533-position model. The record is from RNAcentral.